Molecule: ribosomal RNA, 512 nt
Filed under: uncultured Bacteroidota bacterium
Lineage: Bacteria; Pseudomonadati; Bacteroidota
Description: bacterial SSU rRNA
Rfam family: Bacterial small subunit ribosomal RNA
Source: RNAcentral
GUUUACUAUUUUGGUGGCGACCGGCGCACGGGUGAGUAACGCGUAUGUAACCUACCUUAUACAGGAGUAUAGCCCGAAGAAAUUCGGAUUAAUCCUCCAUAGUAUUUUCUAAUGGCAUCAUUUGGAAAAUUAAAGCUUCGGCGGUAUAAGAUGGGCAUGCGUCCUAUUAGCUAGAUGGUAAGGUAAUGGCUUACCAUGGCUACGAUAGGUAGGGGUCCUGAGAGGGAGAUCCCCCACACUGGUACUGAGACGCGGACCAGACUCCUACGGGAGGCAGCAGUGAGGAAUAUUGGACAAUGGAGGCAACUCUGAUCCAGCCAUGCCGCGUGUAGGAAGAAUGCCCUAUGGGUUGUAAACUACUUUUAUACAGGAAGAAACACUGGUAUGUAUACCAGCUUGACGGUACUGUAAGAAUAAGGACCGGCUAACUCCGUGCCAGCAGCCGCGGUAAUACGGAGGGUCCGAGCGUUAUCCGGAAUCAUUGGGUUUAAAGGGUCCGCAGGCGGUCGAUU